This 78-nucleotide non-coding RNA is filed under the name unclassified sequences. Its description in RNAcentral is "CyVA-1 RNA". It matches the Rfam family "CyVA-1 RNA". Rfam says of the family: Cyanobacteria, Acidobacteria (1 example), Verrucomicrobia (1 example). Big IGRs The record is from Rfam by way of RNAcentral.
GUGCCGCAGUGGUGUUUUGUAGUUUCCCACCACGGAUUGCUGACCAAAGGAGAACGGCGACAGGAAGGCAAGCGGUAU